UCGAGUGUGUAGAGAGCAGAGUGGCAUUCAGUACAAAACCAGGCGAUGCGACGAGACGAAAUAUGUUUUAUUUGUUAGUAGACAUCUAUUUUUUACCUGCGCCUGUGGUGUAAUGGAGUGGCCCUCUUCUGUGUUGCAAGAAACACACCCAAAUGAAGGGCUACGGGGAAGGUGCCACGCAUACAAGUACACAACUAAAGUGAGAGAAGCUGAUUCUGUUUAAAACGCCCACGAUUUCGUGAUGUGUGGUAUAAUAUACAUUAUAAUAUACAGAAGGACUGGUGCUGAGAAAGACAUGUCUUUUCAAGGAAACAAGCAUGACCUUUGUUGUUUAUGACUUCAAAAA
Aplysia californica (California sea hare) is the source of this 346-nucleotide long non-coding RNA. RefSeq lists it as uncharacterized. The transcript is spliced from 3 exons. Lineage: Eukaryota; Metazoa; Mollusca; Gastropoda; Aplysiida; Aplysiidae. The record is from RefSeq and is a predicted model, not a curated record.